CAAUCACAAUCAAAGCAAUGAAAUAUUAUAUUACAUGCAAGUGCCAACAAAAAAUGGCGACAAUGCAUACCGAAACUCUUUAAUUUAGCGGCUAUUAUUACACAUUCGCUUUAGUUUAUAUCCUGCGUGAAGUUUACAUUAAAUGCCCGUUUAAAAGUAUUAAAGUGGGGUUUUUUCACGACUUCGUGUCCCGCAAUUUUGGUGUGACGUCAAACUUUCGAUUAAGCUUCAUUUUCUUUUAUUGCAUAAAUUGUAAAUUGAAUAAAAUUUUUAUUUAAUUUUUUAUAAAAUUUUUAUCGUAUUCCCCGAUUCCCGGUUCCCUGUUUUAAAGAUAGCCGCCUUUGCCAUGCAGAACACAUUUUUGAAAUAAUAGUGAAAUGCAACAAAAACAUUCGGCGUGUUGAGAUAAUGACGUCACAUCCUCUUCAAAACGCCUUCUCGCAACACCGCGGAAAAACGUCUGCGCAUGCACCAAAUUAUGAAAAUAUGGCGGGGAAUUUGAAUAUCAAUUUCUAAAACAAAAACAUGCUUAUUAAUUGGUCAAAAAUUAGCAAAACAAACGAGAAAAUAUAGCAAAUGGGUAGACUAGACAUUAAUUGAAAGCGUCCUGGCAUUUAAAGUAUGGAAUGAAAUAUAAUUCAUGUAAAAAAUUGUUGAUUUAACGGACACGACUUCGAAAAUUUUUGCAAAAUUAUUCAAAACAAAAAUUCAAACUAAAAAGUUAAGAAAACUCUCGAAAAGUUAAGCUUCUUAACCCACUCAAAUUGUAGAAUAAAUCCUAAAGUUUAAUUAUUGUGAACACGCAAAUUUUUUAUAUUUGGCGACACAGUUUUUUUAAAGAAAUGUAUCUGACACGAAAAUUCGGAAAUUGUCAUUGCUUAGUUGAUAAACAAAAUGUUUCAGACGAUAAAUUUGUCAACAAUCACCUUUAAUUCAUGUUCUUGUACAAUACAAUUUCUUGAACCUUCUGGCUGUAUUUAUUUCUAGUUUUUAGAAUGGCAUGUUUAUUUUUGCGCUUGAAAUCUGGCUGUAAAGACGCACAAUGAAGUCACUCCUUUUUACCGCCAUUUUGAGCCUUCGGAAACGUUCGGAACAGCUUCUCAUCUGUUCGCAAUACUAUUACAGGUAAGGUUGACGCAUGCGCAGACGUUUUUCCGCGGUGUUCCUUCUCGCUUAAUUGGGUGCGUUUAAUUGCGGCCGUAAAAUUGGCAAUUAAGAAUCGUAAAACAGUCAGAAGAUGAAAGAAUUUUGCCUUGAACUUUGGUAAGAAUAUCAAGCAUACGUUAUAUUUCUGGGCUCGGUUGUAUAAAAACGUUGUAUGAAAACUAUGAUUAGCGUUAAUCAUUGUAGUUAAAUUCUUAAAUCUUAACAAUGAUUAGUUAACUGUGCGACUUAAUUGCGUUGCACAAAACGUAGUUUGUCGGAUGAUUAACUAAUCACGUAAUUAACUUGCGUGGGGCUUGCGUGGGGUGGUUAAACAGUAAAAUUACAUAAAGUAAAGGUGAUUAACGACCGCUUACAAGCAUUUUUAACAUGAUUGUGGCCUCGCAUUUUGCAAAUAGGCGGGAAUAUUAUUCAAAAUAGAAAAAAUAAACAGAAAAACAAGGAAAAAUCAACGAAGAAGGCCGUUUUUACUUGAGAUGUCUACAUUAAACCAAAUUGUAACUGUUUGGCAAUUAUAUAUCAUGUUUCUUCGUGUAAUGGGCCCUAUUUUUACGUCGUAUUCGAGAAAUCUUCCCGUGCAAAAAUAUUUUUUGUUUUCGCCAAAAAACCAAAGCGAUAGCGUUUCAAGACGGUUUAUAUUGUCAGGAAACAAUCACAGGGAAGAUAGUGAUCGAAAAUCCCAGGUAAGAAUUGCUUUUCAUUAUUGUUUUACUGAAAAAUGUUGUUCACUACUAUAGGCUACAAGCGCCAUUUUUAACUAUGUUUGAGAAGUUAACGAUACCCUAAAGCAUCGUUAACUUCAACUACGAUUUAACUACAAUUAACGCUAACUACUUUUUUAUACAACCGAGUUAACUACGUGAUUAAAGUUAAUCACUAUUUAACUACAAAAUAGUGAUUAAAAAGUGAUUAAGAGUUUUAUACAACCGGCCCCUGGAUUAUGAAAAAAAAUUAAUGAUAGUGCCACUUUAAUAAAUUAACCAAUAAUAUAGUAUUACGACGUGAAUUGCCAUAUGUGACAAGAAAAAAAAAGCAAAUCUAUUACGGGUUGAACUAACGCCCCAAGCUUAUGCCAAAAAUUGCUGAAUGACCAACUGAAUGGGCUCCCUACAUAUUGGGCAGGGGUCUCUUCUUUGUUCCAGUUUCCUUGCGCAGUCAAGGCAACAGCACACGUGGCCAGUUCCGCCAUGAAUUAUUGUGGCGUCUUUCGGUUUCGUCAGACAAAUGAUACACAUUGCAUCACCUUGAAUCGGAGCUGAACCAUUCACAGCUACUAAAUCCUCUUCCGGUGACGUCACAGGGUAUCCCGCUGCAGUUGUUCCUAUUGCGCCUCGAUUGCAGAAAUUGUUUGGACGUCGCGGGACUAGUAAAAAUAUAAUAAGACACAAACAAGGUCAGGAAUCUCCAUGGAGUCUCAGUGGACAAACGAUUAUGUAAAUGCAUAAUUUUUCAGGCUUCUAUACGAUAAAAAAUGUUAAUAAAGUUUAUUCAAUUUUUUACGUGCGCAUACUGUGUUUUCCAAAUCAACGUCCAACUAAACCAGAACAAUAUAUACUAUUGGUGAUUGAACACCUAUUAUCACCCCCCCCCGAAAUAAAAUUGAGCAUACUGAAAUGGUCUGCUGCCGCUGUUCUACAAAUCAAGGAAGAAGAAAAGAACCCAUCUAUGAUCUAGUUGCUAAAUCCUCUUUUGACUAAACCUAGGUUGGUUG
This 2875-nucleotide long non-coding RNA is filed under the name Paramuricea clavata. The record is from RNAcentral. Lineage: Eukaryota; Metazoa; Cnidaria; Anthozoa; Malacalcyonacea; Plexauridae.